This is a long non-coding RNA of Gordionus sp. m RMFG-2023, 1131 nucleotides long. RefSeq lists it as uncharacterized. The transcript is spliced from 3 exons. The record is from RefSeq and is a predicted model, not a curated record. NCBI's taxonomy places the organism in Eukaryota, Metazoa, Nematomorpha, Gordioida, Chordodea, Parachordodidae.
UUUCUGAAAAAUGUCAAUUAAAGAAAAGAUAUCUGUCAAUUUAUAAAUAUUAUACACUAUAUUUAUUUUUUUAAAUUUUUAGAAAAUUCAUUUACAUAAUGGGAUUUAGAUUUUCACAGACCUUUUGAAUAAAGAAUCCCUUUUAUGAUAAGAUAAUCCUACUCAAUUAACAAUAUAAAGAAACAUUUUUGGAUUUUAAAAAGAUAAAUAAAUAUAAUAAAGAAUGAAGCUAUUUUUAUUUAAUCUUAAUAUGUAUACUUAAUAAGUUAUCUGGGUUUUGAACCAUGGCAAUUAUUUUUGCUAAUAAUUUUUUAAAUAAUCAUUUUCAAUGGGGUAAAUAUUACCACAUUUUUGUGAGGCAAUCAGGUUGGACCCAUAAUUGAUUUCUAUUUAUGAUAAAUGAUUCUUUGAGGUAAGUGUAAAUUAUAUACAAAAUUAUAAGUGAGAGGUGAAAACCAUUGUGUGAUAAAAAAUUUGUUAAAAGAAUUGAUAAAUUUUUUAUUUCAUUAUUAGAUAAAUUUUAUAUAACAUCAAAUUUUCCAUAAUAUAUUUGGCCUUUUUUCUAAAUAUUUAUAGAAAUCUUGGGAGAAUGAACAGAUAAUCUAUUCCUCUCAUUUGAUUAUUGAUUUAAGAAAAGAUUUCAAUUAAAUGAAUUGACAAAGUGAUUCCAUAUACUGAAAUAUUGUUUAUUUUUGUUAACAAUAAAUUAAAUUUUUGGAUAUGGCUUGGGAAUAAUCUUUGAAACCUAUGAUGUGGUUUGGGUUUGGAUUUCCAUUAAACAUGAACUGGGCCUGAAAAUUAUUUUUACUUAUGACCUAGGCUGGAUGAAGAAAUCAAUGCCAGUGAAGGUCUCUAAUUUCAAUGAUUAAAAUAUAUCAUUUCUCAGACUUUAUUUGAAGAUAAAUGAAUGGGCAAAUCACAAAUAUGCCUGUUUUCAAUUAUUUGCAAAAUUUAUUAGGAUUGUUAAUUUAAAGAAACUAUGAUUUCAAAGCAUCAUACAUUUCUAAAAAUUGUUGGACACUAAGAAAUAAAGAAAUCAAUUGUGAAGUGUAUAAUGGAGGAAAUAUUGAUCCAUGAUUGUUUUGGCAUAAAUAACAAAAAAUAUUAUAUUUUUUGUGACCAUGCAUUAAG